Molecule: ribosomal RNA, 505 nt
Filed under: uncultured bacterium
Lineage: Bacteria
Description: partial 16S ribosomal RNA
Rfam family: Bacterial small subunit ribosomal RNA
Source: RNAcentral
GACGAACGCUGGCGGCGUGCCUAAUACAUGCAAGUAGAACGCACAGUUUAUACCGUAGCUUGCUACACCAUUAACUGUGAGUUGCGAACGGGUUAUUAACGCGUAGGUAACCUGCCUUGUAUCGUGUGAUAACUAUUGUUAACGAUAUCUAUUACCGCAUCAUCUUUAUUAUUGCUUGAUUAUUUAUUUAAUUUUGCUAUUUCAUCACUACCUGAUGGUCCUGCGUUGUAUUAGCUAGUAGGGGAGGUAAAGGCUCACCUAGGCGAGGAUACAUAUCCGACCUGAGAGGGGGGUCGGCAAAACUGGGAAGGGGAAACGGACCAGACGCAUAAGGGAGGCAGCAGUAGGGAAUCUUCGGAAAUGGACGAAAGUCAGACCGAGCAACGACGAGGGAGGGAAGAAGGGUUUCGGAUCGUAAAGCUCUGUUGUAAGAGAAGAACGGGUGUGAGAGUGGAAAGUUCACAAUGUGACGGUAUCUUACCAGAAAGGGACGGCUAACUACGUG